GUUCAUGCCUUCUUGCAGGAGGAUGUCGACGUGCCGGGUCUUGCUCGAUGGUGUUGAAGUUGACGUGUGCGCGGCCGUGGAUUUGAACGGGCAGCCCGUUCUCGACAACGGUGGCCAAGUGUACAUAACGAAAGACGGUGAGCGAGUGCACAUGCAGCUGAGAGCGCCGGAGGCGAAUCGGAAGAGAGCGGGAAAGCUCUGGGCCACAGCCAAAACUCUUUUCUUAAUUAGUAAAUUUAAAGAAUUGAAGGAAGAUUCAAGAUUGGCCUUAAGGGAAAGAAAACGCACGUGGGAGACAUUGGCAGAUAUCAUAAGCAAAGAAUUUAUUUGUGUUGUGACAGCCGCCCAGGUAGAAAAUAAGUGUCGAAAUUUAGAAAACAAAUUACAAAAAAACAAGAACCAACAACUCAAGAUCCGGUGCUGGACGAAAGACUUGCGAGUUUGAAGAGCAGCUGGCUGAAGAGUUUGAGAAGGCGCAUGCGAUAAACCCCCGUUAUCUUGAGGGACCAGGAGAGCUAAGGAGGUCAAGCACCCAGCCAGCUGCUUCUGCCAGCACAGUUAGUGCUGGCACAUCAUCCGCCACCAGCUUCCAGCCCGGCACAAGUCCUGACGAGACAGCGCAAGACAUGGGCUGUGAUGAGGCAGACAGCCCACCACCGUCACCACCAUCGCCACGCCCACCACCAUGCACAUCUGGACUCAAUGCACCCCACCGCCCCAAGGCCUGCCAGCCAAAAAACCCCGGCAGGACCGUGCGCGUGCCCAGAUUGACGGCUUCCUCGGCCAUCUCAACUCUACUGAGGACAUCCCGUGAAAAGUGGCGCAAGGAAUGCCAGUCAAUGGAAGAGGAACGACUCAUGAUAGAAGAGCGGCAGCACCAGGAGCUGCUGCCUGUCAUUUGGCAGCUGACCACAGCGGUCACCAAGCUACUGCCACAAGGAGCCAAUAUAGACGGGGAGGAAAUGUAAAUGAUUUUACUUUAUAAUAUUUUUCGCUUAUUCAUAUGGUAUGUGAAUUUUGUGUGCAAUAAAGUUGAUGUACGUCAUGUGUG
Long non-coding RNA from Rhipicephalus sanguineus (brown dog tick), 1051 nucleotides. RefSeq lists it as uncharacterized. NCBI's taxonomy places the organism in Eukaryota, Metazoa, Arthropoda, Arachnida, Ixodida, Ixodidae. The transcript is spliced from 4 exons. The record is from RefSeq and is a predicted model, not a curated record.